GUGACAAGCAGUAGUUAGAAGAAGUGUUUUACUGGAAGGUGGGAGAAAUGAAGUGACAAAAACCUGUGCUGUGGUGCUGACAACAGGGCAGGAAAACAAAAGCAGUAACAUCUCUGGAGAACAUUUCCUUCUCCAAGCCUUUACCAGCUGGCAAGAACCAAGGAGGGGACUUCCCCCCUCCUAUGUGAUACAAGUUUCUCUGUGUUCAGACGUGGCAAGCAAAUGCCCUUGAGAACCCCUUGGAGACUGUGACCUCUUACUCCUGUCUGCAUCCAACAUUGCAGUGUUUUGUCCAGCUGUCUGCAGCUCACACAUGCUCUGUGCCUUGCAGUGGCAAUCUGUCAGCUGAAGCAGCCCCAAGGCACGCGAUGGCUGAGCUCCAUAAGCUACCAGCUGAGCUGGGCUCCUGCUCCCCUCUGCCAGAGGUUUCCUUCAUGACCUUGAGUCAGUCAUUUAGUCUUGCCAUGCUUUCCCACGUCUCUGUCUGCAAACUGGGAAAAAUAAUCCUUUUGGCAUUCUCUGUCUCAUCAACUUGCUCUGGAGGUUCCUCACUACCAGGGCUGUUGUUUGCCCUGAUUUCAGCAGGGGUGGAGACCCUGAACCCACAGGUGUACCCACAAAGGCCCUGCCUGGAGUAGCUCACAGACAGCAACUGAAACCACUCCAUCAGUUCUCCUCUCACCCUUCUCACCAUUCUUUUCUCUGUCACCUUUCUCCUCCAGCCUUCAACUGCUCCACUUCACCACCUAACUUCCCCUCUGGUGCUGUCCCUUGCAGGGAUGCCCCUGCAAAGCCCCACACCCCGUCACAACGUGGUGUCCCCCUUGCAGGCACCAGCAGCCGUGGGGCAGCUGCAGAUGCUCGGAGGGAAUUUUCCCCAGCUGCAGCCCAUGGGAAUGUGAGACUUUACACAGCUGAAUCUGCAAACACAGCUGGGCUUAGGGGGCUUUUCCACAGUGUUUGCUGUUUCACACUAAAUCCCAGUUUCAUUUACUUUACCUUGGGGCCGCUUCUGGCAGGCUUUGCUGCAAGGAGAGCUUUUGCAGCCUCAGCGCUGUUGUGGAGCCUUGUGGAGGCUCUCCAGCCACACGAGCAUCUUGCUAUUCCUGUCACACCCUGCUCACCUUGACUUUCCCCAGGAAGCAUUUCCCUGCCCUCUCACCCCAGCUUCAGCUUGCCUGUCCCUUCACCGCCCAUGCUGCCCUCCAUCCCAGUGUGACUGCAGCUCCUGGAAUUCCCUGCCGUGGUACCUGGGCUGCAGGCAGCCUGCCUGGAGACCACAGCACUGGAGCCCACAGCUCACAGCACUGGAGCCCACAGCUCACAGCACUGGAGCUCACAGCUCACAGCUGCCGGCUGCAGGGGAGCCCCAGGGCUCUGCAGGCUCCCAUGGCUGCCGCCAGCAUCAGGAGCUGGAUGGGAAGCAAAUCUUCCCUGCCAAGCCUCUCUUCAAAAGGACUUACAACCGUGUCUAAGGGCUGAUGGUAAAAGCAGGGUAUUUUCCAGGCAGGCCCACGCACUUGUAUCAUGGCUGAUACUCUUGGCCUGGAAACCUGUGUGGCCUGGGGGGACGCCAGAGCUCAUGCUGCUUCACAGCACAGGCAUUUUGACAUUGCUGUUAUUUUCUCUUUCCAGGUACCCCAAAGACAGGUGGUGGCUGAAUUCAAAGCAACUGGCUUGUGGCAACCCCCAGCAAACCCUAGACAGAGUUCCUGACUCGCAGAGCAGCGAGCAAACGGGAAAGCUGGACCAGAAUGGAGCACCAAGUGGCCACCCCUCUCCACUCACCCUCUGUCAAACUCGGCCACGUCGCUCAGCUGUCGCCGGUAUUCCAAACCCACCUGUGGGAGACAGCAGGAAAGAGGAAAUGCUCAGCAUCCUCACCAGUCCCUGAGGAGGAGACAUGGCUAGCAGCCAUCAGCACCCUUGCUGGACCAAGAUGAUGAUGUCUCAAGGAAAUUGGUGCUAAACCAUAAAAGGCACCUCUCUAGGACAGGACAAGAGAAGAUGGGAGUAAGUGCUCUGGCUGGAGACAGGAGCUGGUGAAGAGCCCUGAGCACUGAAAGUGAGCUCACAGAUCCAGAGAUGACCUGGAACAAUGAAAACAAGAGGUUUUGAUUGGGUCCAUCAGCCUCAGUGUGGCUCUACAUGGUACAAGGACUCACCCUUCAGCCAGUUUGGGAAGAAAGAAUGAGAAAAAGCACAGAAGACAGGGGAGGAGUGUAAGUAUGGAAGGUAGAGAGCAGCCAGGACUGGAUAUUGAGCUAAAAAAUCAGUGGUAGGGGAAGUCUUACCAGCAGCUUAGGCAAAAAAAAAAAAAAAAAAAAAAAAAAAUUACCAGAGGAAGAAUAUAGCAUACUUGGAAAGGACACUGGCCCACUGGCCAGAGCAGGCUUUGGUUUUGUUAGUUAUGGACAGGAAACUCAUAACCAAAGGUGGCUUGGAAAAGAAGGAGCACAUGCAUCAAAGAAGAGGAAAUGCCACAGUGUAUUCACCAAGGCUCUGUUGAAUAGCAGUGGGAGAGCAGGGCUUUUUGUGCUUGAAUAAGAAAUUUAAAGCAGUCUUUUAAGAACAGUGUAAGAAUCUAGAAAAAGGAAACAACCUGAAGUGAUUGUGGGCAGCCCCUAGCAUCCUGGAAUAAAAAGAACUAUAUAACAGAAAACACAGUCCAACAGAAAUAAUGGGGACGAUAGAGGGAGCCAAAUUAAUUCAAAAAAACAUUGGUAUCGUAGGUCUUCUGACAAAAAGAGAGAUUAGGAGUCUUCAUUUAAAGUUCACAAAGCUCUUAGCAGGGUAGAGAGUGGGGAUACUACAAAGCUGUUUGACCCAGUGUCAAGAACAAGCAAAGAUGCAGCAGUAAGAUAAGCCACAGCUGGACAUUGCAGGAAUUCAGGGAGGAAUGUCAGCAGAGAGCAAGACAGAAAUGCAACAUAAACUCCCCUUACAUGGCCAGGGCACCAAAAGUUGGCUCCAUGGAAGAACUGGGCAUUAGGUAAUACUGUAGAAUGCUGUAACUAGCCCAAAGGAAACUGUGCCUGAGGAUUUGUCACCUCCAGAUCUUUCACACAGAACUGCUGGUAUUUUACAGUGCUCCUGAGUGUUGACAAAGUGCCCUGAGCUGGCCUGCCCUCUCCUCUCACAGUUACUGCAGGGAGCUGGAGCUGGCUCAAUCCAGUGCAGGCAGACACAAUACACAAGAGAUCAGAUUCUGUCUUGCUCAAGACCAAGUCUUGCAGUCAUUGUGCCUUGAAACACAGGCAGGGUUUCAGUAUAGCAUGUUGGUCUCCUUCAAACAAUAAAUGAACCAAGUCAAAAGCUUUUAGGGAAAACAGAUGCAAAGGCUGAACUUAGGAAGAUAACUAAUAAACUACUUUAAAAAUUGAGUACAUUUUGGCAAAAACCUUGGUGAGGAAGGCACAGGAAAUCUAUUUU
Long non-coding RNA from Serinus canaria (Common canary), 3432 nucleotides. RefSeq lists it as uncharacterized. The record is from RefSeq and is a predicted model, not a curated record. Lineage: Eukaryota; Metazoa; Chordata; Aves; Passeriformes; Fringillidae. The transcript is spliced from 5 exons.